UUCAAACUAUCUUUAUCCACCGAAAAACAAAACGCAAACACAAACUCUUUUCUCUCUCUCUCUCUCUAUGUUGAAUGCAAUUGCGCAAUUCGAUUGGCGAUGAUGGAGGAGCUUCCGGCGUCGCUGUUGGUGGAAAUUGUGAGUCGUUUAACGGACACUACCGAUGUGGCGCGGUGCAGGGCGGUGUCCAAGGGUCUAAACGCGGCGUCAUACGAGGUGCGGUGGCUGAACGUGGUCUGUUCCAUGUCGCGCUACCUCAAGUCCCGUUCGCCGGAGACCAAGCACCUCGUCACUCCCUUCAAGACCGUUUUCUCUCACCUCGUAUUCCGCUCCACCUCCACUCUUGACUCCGUCUCGCUGGGCGUCGAUCGCGCCCUCGGUGGCGUCUCCUUCGACGACGUCGAGGAUGAGUCCGACGAUCUCUACCUUACCGACAUGAACUUCAUCAGAGAGUGGCUUCCAUCCAUUUCCCACGCUCUGAAAUCUUUCUCCGUCUCCGAUUUCUGGGUCCAGUCUUGUUGGCGCCGAUCCGAAGCCUUGUCCCUCAUCUCUUCCACCUGCCAUAAUCUUGGGAAAUUGGUUGUGAGGAAUGCGUGGUUAUCCGUGGAUGGUUUGUGUUUGAUGCCAACGUUGAGACAUUUGACUCUUGAGUUUGUGAGACUGGAUGAUGAGGACUUAAGCAGGAUCAAUGCUUGUUUCCCUAAUUUGACUCAACUCAGUCUUAUUGGGGUUGGUGGACUUAAGGAGCCUAAGAUUAAUUUCUUACACCUUACCACUUGUCAAUGGUCGGUCUCAAAUGCUCCACUUUCUUUGAUCAUAUGUGCACCUUGCCUUGUUGAUUUUGAUCUCAGAUGCAUCAAACCUAAGUUGGUUGUCCUUGAGGCCCCUUCCUUGUCCAAUUUUAAUCUCUCCCUCGAGAAUACUGAUGAGCUCAGGUUGAAAAAUUGUGCUAAUAUACAAUGCCUUCAGCUCAGUGUAGAAUGCCUCUCUCUUGGUUUUUUGUUUACUAUGUUUCGUCACUGCAGCACGGUGAAGAGACUUACCUUGGAUUUGGUAGGAAGAAGAAAACAGGUUGAUGCAGCAGUGUUUGGGAUUGAUACUUUGUUGGGUUGUUUUCCGAACAUAACAUGUCUUAGUUUAGGUCCUGGAGCCUGGCAUGUGAUGGAGAAUUCAUUUAGACGGGGAGGUUUGGCAGAUGGGAUUGGUAUGAAGAUGAUAAAACAACUUAUUGCACAUCUAGUGGUCCAUGAAGUGGAGGGUACUCUUGCAUUUAUCUCUUCUGUUUUGGAUAAAAGCACCCAGUUGUGUGAUGUUUCUCUUCUUAUCCAUCGUGAUGUUGAUUCAUAUGUUGCUGGCGGCCUGAUCUCUUCAUGCAGAAGCAAAUUCCCAAGAGUGAGAUGGAGAUGGGGAAUAUGGAAAGAAGGAAUCAAGGAUACUUGGGUCUCUGAUGGCACCUAGUUUGGUGACUGCUAUCUUUGUUAUGAAAAGGGGAGUUCUCAUUGAUUUGUUAUAUCAUAGGUUUACGAAUAGACGAGUCAUGUUAGGACACUGUCAGACUUUGAAUAUAUUUUGUUGAAUCAACUCCAAUAAGCAUAAAUGAACGUUAAACGAACCGGAAUGUCGAUAAAAAAAUUAUUUCCGAUGUUAGAAAACCAGAGAAAGUUGAAAGAAACUAGACGAGGAAUCAGAAAGGAGACUCUGAAAUAUGGUGGUAUUAGUAUCAGGAGAAGUUUUUCCAAACUGUGUUGGCGAAUUGGAUGCAGUUGGAAGUAGCAUUCUUCUUUGGAUUUGAUCAGCAUUAAAAAAUAUCAUGGCUAUAGUUAACUGUGGAGAAGAAGCCACCUUGUGGAAAGUCCUCCCCUUGUGAAAUCUCUUUGUAUAGAUCUUUGCUGUUGUGUUAUCUCUUUGUACAUAUCUUUGCGCUGCUCUUUUUUCAAGCAUAUGUAUAUUAUUGUAUAUUAUUCAUCCCUGUUAUGGUUUUAUGGAUUGAAGUUUAGAUGUACUCACCAGUUUUAUGCAGGUCAUCGCUAAACUUUUCCAUGGGUGGAAGGGCAAAGUCAAUCUACCGUCUUAGGUCAUACCAUGUUUAUAAACUUGUUCCAUGUUUGCGUUAUCCACAUUUUCAUGGAACUUAUUAUAGCAGCCUAAUUGCAUUUUAUGGUAGAAGAAUUCAAUCCUUGUGCAUAGGUUACAAAUAUUUAUUUUUAGUAUUAAGUUAGCAUCAACCGCA
RNA transcript from Vigna angularis (adzuki bean), 2230 nucleotides. It is a transcript of the gene named F-box/LRR-repeat protein At4g29420, with no coding region annotated. The transcript is spliced from 3 exons. NCBI's taxonomy places the organism in Eukaryota, Viridiplantae, Streptophyta, Magnoliopsida, Fabales, Fabaceae. The record is from RefSeq and is a predicted model, not a curated record.